Long non-coding RNA from Polistes dominula (European paper wasp), 1421 nucleotides. NCBI's taxonomy places the organism in Eukaryota, Metazoa, Arthropoda, Insecta, Hymenoptera, Vespidae. The record is from RefSeq and is a predicted model, not a curated record.
UAGAUUCAUUGGUUAAUACUUAUUUGUCGUAGUUGACGAAUAAUAACGUGGCGAAUACGUAGAUCGCGAUAAGAGCUAUAGUAAAUACCGUUCCUACUAUACUUCCUCGCCUUCUUCGUAAAUGCUAAUUAAGUAUAAUCUAACAACUCCUUAAGUCUCUCGAUCGAGCACGUAUUAAAUUACAUUAAUUGACGUUCUACGACGAAUUACAAAUUAUCGCAUUAUCGUAGAAACGAUUUGCUACUGCGAGAAAAUUCGUUGUAAUAGCAAUAAAAUAAUAAUAGAGUAUAUGAAAGUAAUCCCGCCAGGAAGAGAAGAAAAGUUAUGAGAGAGACGUUAGAGAAUUUCCUGGAUAGUUGGCGCCAACUGUGACCUCCUUUAAUGAGGCAUGCUCGAGGAAGGCACGCGUUUAACUGGCACAAUGUUUCUUGCGGAGAGCUCUACUCACGCUACUUGUCUGUUAGCUGAUCCCCUCUCGUAAAUUAUUCCGCGAGGGAUCAAGGCCCCGCGAGUAACAAUGAACUUUUGGUGCCCUCUCAUAAUGUCGCGUCAUCGCGAACAAAUUCAAUGUCAUCAAAUUGCUUAUGUAUAUCGGACUCUAUGUCUGCGCAAAUAGUAGACAAAUAAAAAGCGCGUGAUACGAAUUUUUGAUGAAACAAUGCAACGUGGUAAAAUGCAUUCAUCCAUAGGGACGCUUUAACGAUGAUAACAACCGACCUCUCGAGAGACGCUACGUCGAUAUUUCGCGUGAGAUUCAAUAUUGUAAAUGAAAAAAAGAUGAAAAAAAAAAAACAGAGAAGAAGAAGAAGAAGACUCUCGGCGAUCGCAUUAUUCAGAUUAGGGCAUCGACAGAGAACGAACGGCUGCGUGGAUAUGUGAGAAGAAACAUGUCCUCUAUUUCUUUCUCUCACAUGAACGCAGUGUGUGAGACGUGUGUAGACAUUUGUAUCGGUAGAAGAUAAUGCAUCUGAUCGUGUGCACAAGCAAAGAAUGUUAAUGGUGGUUCGGUUUUGUAUGCAGGAAGUGACGGCCGUCUCUUGUGUCGUGUAGCGGGGCCUGGCGCCCGGUGUCCGCUCGGAAAAAAGCCCCCUAACGUAAAUGCUGCGAUAAAGAGAGAAAGAAAAAGAAGAAAAGUGGGAGGGAGGAAUAUGAAAAAUUGACGGAUUCACCCAUAGCCGCGAACCGAGGAGAGCGGCAGCAAGUUGCUCUUUUAAAUCUCAUCGUAAACACGCGUUCACACAGUGGCUCUCAUAUUCAUUUAUAGAACUAUUUUAUUUUAAGGGAUGCUUUAUUCAAACUUAACAAAUAUAUUUCUUCUCGUCGAUAAUUAUCUCUACUUGAAAAAGAAUGAAAUAAAAUAAAAGUAGAUAAGUCAAUUUUUGUUCAACUUGACUUAAUUAUAAGCGUUACUUCUCCUUGAU